This is a non-coding RNA of Rattus norvegicus (Norway rat), 9496 nucleotides long. The record is from RefSeq and is a predicted model, not a curated record. Lineage: Eukaryota; Metazoa; Chordata; Mammalia; Rodentia; Muridae.
UUGGUUACAGCUACCACCUUCCUCUCGAGCCAACCUCUUCCCUACCAUCUCAGUUCCCUUCCUUUGUGGGAUGGCCACAGCAGCGAUAGUGAAUACGAAUUCAAGUAUUUGUAGAGAGAAUCUCUCAUAAGCAACACCUGUCAAUAAAAAAUUCCUAUGGCCAAUGAGCUGAGACAGAAAUAGGAGGCGGGACAUUGGCAGGAAGACAGAGGAUUCUGGGAAAUAACGAGCCGCAUGGGCGAUUUGCCUUGGAUCACGGGUGUAAACCAGCAGGUGGCUGAACUGAGAAGAAAAUAAAGAGGAGAUUCGUCCCAGACUUGGACACAUGAAACUGAGGAGAGGAGAGUUAAGGCCACAGGAAGUACUUCUUAUCCUUAAAGCCUGGAAUCCCUACUUGACUGCAAACUAGAAAUCAUUUUCACCACAAAAAGCCCAGCUGUUCCUGAGGCACCGCACAGCAGCAGACAGAUUCCAGGCACACAUGCGGAUGGGCCUCUCCCGGUGAAGCGGCGAUUGCAAACUGUCAGUGAAGCUUUCAAUCAUUAAAUAUGUUGGCCUCAUUUAGUUCUUUAUUCAAAAGUCAAGCUUGGUAUGCACCUCUGGUGAAGUAGAUUUAAAUAUUGAUACCGGAAGACCUCGACCAUAACCACGUUGCCAGAGAAUUUCAAAAUAACGUUUUGGUGGUGGCAUUUUACUCCCUUUGGAACAGUGUUCAUGAAACAAACGACCAAAACAUGCACAAGAUCUCAGUAGAGAAAUGAAAAGGAGUCCCGUGUCAGAAGACACAGAAUAUUCCCAGGAGCACAACACAAAGGCUUUCUCUUCUCUCUCUCUUAAGGAAUUCUAAUAUAGCAAGUAAGCAAGUGACUUUAAAAAGCAAAUUCUAACAUGUUCUAAACAAAAGAGAAACUGUACCUAAGCCCCAGCAGUACGGUUCUGGAACCCUCCAGGAAUCUCCAUAUCUCAGAGAAAGUCUGCUACAGUACAUCUCAGCCGUGAGCCCCCUGCAGCUGCUUUACACGGAAGAGCACCCACUAUAAUGGACAAAUGCUUCUACAAUUUCUUUGUUAUAAAUCAAAGAAGAAAGAGAUUAAGACAGCACAGUAAUAUAGCUGUUUAGAACAACAACAACAACAACAAAAACAGACAAAAUAUGCACAUGAAGGCAAUCUUCUGGGACAUGGCCGUGCUACUGUGCCAUCCCUUAAUUAAGCAGUGGCACAAUUUAUGGUGUUUCCAGAAUGGUGCCACUGACAGUUUGAAAGUUUAAUGGAAUUUGAAGUUUUCCUGUGACAGAUAGCUUUUUUGACUAUGCAUCUUGAAUGGGAGAGCAAUUUGGUUGUGAAAAUUAUUUACUGCUGAAAUAGUUUAUUCUCUUGCAUCGCACCUAAUCACUUAAAUUUCUUAGCUUUAGACAGUUAAGAUUUUUAAAAUCAGAUUAAUCUGCAAACUGUUUGGCUCCUAAACCAAAGAACAAAAAAUAAAUUCCACUCAGCAAAUACACUCAGCUCAUUUCCUUCCAUUGAGGUCAUUGUGUCAGUCAUAACUCUUAAAUAUCUUUCAUGCUCUAAAUUUUAUUUUUGACUCUAUGUACACCUUCAUAUACACAUAAUAAAUUUACAGUUCUAACUUAGGAAAUGCACUGAGUGGUUGUAUAUAUAAUUCAAAUGUCUGCCUCAACAGGAACACUUAAGAAUAACUUACUGUCAUAUACUUGGUAAUACUAAGUAAUUCUGCAAAGGUCAAAGGUCACUCCUCUAUCCAGUUUCAAAUACAAAAGUGAAGCAGAGUUAGAUCAAUUCAUCCAGGGUCUCUUGUAGAAACAUUCACCACACAGUGCUAGUUGGUGCACACAAGUAUUAGAAAAGCAGAAAAACCAUGAGACUUCUAGAGAAACAUCUCACGGACUGAACUGACUUUUUUAGUAGGAGCUAAUGAAGUCAUUUCAAACUUGUAAAGAAAGAUACUAUCCACUGACUAUAAUCAUGGAGGUUCUGACUGUCACAGGAAGAAUCAAGGCAGGAAGUUGGAGCCAGAAGCUGAAGCGGAGACCAGGGGAGAUUGCUGGGCUGCUCACUUUCUUACAUAAGGUUCACCUGCCAUGGAAGAUACCACAAAGUGCUAGGCCCUCCCACUCCAGCUAGUUAAGAAAAUGCCCUCAUAGGCCAAUCCCCAACUGGGCUUUCCUCCUCCAGGUGACUGUAGUUUGUGUCAAAGGGACAUCUCAUCCCCCCUGCCCUGGGGGUGUGUGGAAUUCACAGUAUAUAUGUUAUUGAAUUCAUCUCAAUUUUGCUAAGAAGCAAAAAAAUGUAAUUCUAAUUCAAAAUUCAAUCGUCAUCAGCAUUUAUUAAGAAAGGGGCUACUAUGUAGCCUUGGCUGGCUUGGAACUUGCUACAUCGAUCAGGAUGCUCUUAAACUCAUAGAGUUUACCUGCCUCAGCCUCAAAAGCACUAGGGUCAAAGGAUUGAGCCCUCUCACUUAGCUGAAAGCAUUGUUCGCAUUAAAAAGUACUCAGGACAACCUGCCAAUAUUCUAAAGCUUACAAUUUAUAUUAAACUCUGAUUCUAAAAGUGCAUUAUUUUUUGUUUUCUGCAAAAGAGGAUAAGGAUUAUUUUGGACUUCUUAGUAAUGUCUGUUUGCAACUGAUACUAAUCUAGAUUUACUGUCUAGAGUUUAAAACUCAUCCAGGGACCUCAGUCUUUACUUAAGACAAGAAAAACUACAGCUAAUAGGAAACUAAUGGAAAUAAUGCCCAAUUUUUAAUAAUUCUUUCAGUGGCAUUGUUGUGAGCUCAUUUUUUCCCUGAUGCCUUUAUAAACCACCAGCAAUACAGGAGAUUGUUUUAGGAAAAAAAUGUAUGAUACUCUCUAUAAUAAAGAUCCCAUUCAUACCCUAUCUGGGAGCCCACAGUCAGAAUGAGCAUCUGUCUUCCUGGAUGGUCAAACUGAAAUGUUCAGUGUGGGCAGUACACACACACACACACACACACACACUUUAAGGGAUUACUAGUGUAACAUUCAUAACACCAAAGUGCCAGCACAGUAGCAGGAUUGACCACCCCCACUUCCCCAAAUGCUUUGUGAGCUGCUGUGGGAAUUGACAGAACAGCUAAGAGGUUUGCUUUAAAUCAGGAUUAUAAAGGUCCCAGAAUGACUGCAUCGAGAGCUCUCAGAUGAGACAUGAAUGAGUGCUCAUUGUAAAGUGCUCUGGGCAGGGAGAAGUCGGAGCUGGGAUUAAAGAAAAGCCAGACACUGUACAAAUCGUCUACUUAGCACAUGUAUCAAAGUGACAAUUGAAGGACUUUAGGAAUUAAAUUUAUACAUUAGUGAAUUUAAGCCUAUUUUAAAUAGUUAUCAUACGCACAUAGAAUGAACUAUUUUUGUUAAAAUUUAAGAUGGAGUUUUUUCAAGUUAUAAUACCAGGUAGAGACGGGUUGGAUAAUAGAAACAUGGAAUAGGAAACCAGACACAUUUUGAAAUCACGCUCAGUAACUGGGCAACCCAGGGCUAAAUGUUUAUUGUGGCUUGAAUAUAGACUGUUCCCCAGAAGCCCCUAUAUUUGAGUACUUGGUCCCCACUGCUGGCACCAUUCAGAAAAGUCAUGGGAGCUUUGGGCUUGGAGUCUUUCUGGAUAAAGAGAUCAAUUUGUAUAGGUGUUGCCCACCCUCCUCACUUCCUGUCCAUAGUCUGCUCCCCGACUGCCAAUGCAAUGUGACCAGCCCCCUCUGCCCAUCCGCCUCUCCCGCCAUGAUAGACUGGGUCCUUCUAGAACCAAGAGCCAAGCCACACCCAUUAUUAAGUAGUUUUGUCGGAUGUCACAUUGUAGCAGUCUGUAAAGUAACUUUCGGUGCUUCAGGUCUACCAGUUCUCUGUUUUCUCCUAAUAAAAUGGCACAAGCUACAAGGCUUGCACUGGUGGCUAGCAUGCUGAACUGGUGGCUAGCCAUGCUGCAGCAUUACAUAUGAAGGAAUUGUCUGCUGUGCUUGACACACCAGUGUAAAUACACAUUAAAUCAACUGCUUUCCCCUUCCUUCCUUCCUUCCUUCUUUCCUUCCUUCCUUCUUUCCUUCCUUCCUUCUUUCCUUCCUUCCUUCCAUCCUUCCUUCCUCUUCCAAAUUCCAAGGAUGAUAAUGACUCUCACAAUGAUUUGUGAGUGCACACGAUCAGAACACAGCAUUUCUGGGUUCAACUGUCAGAUCAGGAGGUAAGAAUGCCAGGCGAUUCUAAACACCCGUGUCUUUCUCCUGAGGGAACUAUUUACCCAAACACACACACACACACACACACACACACACACACACACACACACACACACAAAGCUUCAGCUCUACACUGAAUCAUUUCCAAAGUAGGCAUGAGGUAAAGAAAGAGGAAUAGACUUUCGCAAAAUAUAUUUUUGUAAAUAAAAGUCUGUUUGAAAAAAAAUUAGUCAAAAGAGUUUGACUCCAAACUGUGUUGUUGUUGUUGGUGGUGGUGGUGCCGUGGUGGUGGUGGUGGUCGUGGUGGUGGUUGGGGGUCUUGUUUGGUAGCCCAGACUGGUAUCCAACUCAUGAAUGUCUCUUUGUUCGCUUCUGUUGUGUUAGCAUUAUAGGGUCUGUUGUGUUAGCAUUUUAGGGUCUGUUGUGUUAGCAUUAUAGGUGUGAGCCAUUACAUCCAGCCUCACUAUAUGUGUCCAUUUCUUCCCUCCUUUUAAUCUUUUCAACCUCCAAAGUCAAAGUGAAUAACAUAGGAAGUAUAUGCCGUAAUAUAAACAGAACGAGCACCAAUAAGAAACAAGACCCCUUGUCCCUGCCGAGCUCCAUGAACUUACCUGCCACGAAUGCUGCCCUGUAAGUUAGGAGUGCAGCCUAGCUGUUUGCUCAUCUGAGUAAGAAUAAUUCCACAUGUUCUCAUGAGCUCAUGGAUUUAUCUGUGAAUAACACUGUCAUAGGUCAUAACAUACUCGUAAGAUAUUAUUUUCUAUAUUUUGUUACCAUUGCUUUAAAAUUGAGAGCUUCCAUCUGUCCAUAGGAAACAUAAACACUUUAACCAAAUUUCUCAGAACACCUAAAUCCAUUCAUCCCAGAUAUACUGUUGUGUAUGUUCUAUUUAGUAAAAAAAAAGAAAAUUCAGCAUGGUGGUUCAGCAUUUUUUUUUUGGUUCUUUUUUCCGGAGCUGGGGACCGAACCCAGGGCCCUGCGCUUGCUAGGCAAGCGCUCUACCACUGAGCUACAUCCCCAGCCCCACAUGUUUUUUUAAGACAGGAUCUGAUCUAGUCCACAUUCUGAAGGCUCAGAUUAUAGGUAUGUGGCACCAUACCCAACAUUUUAGCUUUUUAAGACACAUUUUACAAUGUCAACUCGGAGUGCACACAUUGCUCAAUUUCAAUUUUAUCUGAAAGGAGAGGUGAACAGUUGUCAGCCCUGCAAAAACCAACAGAGGGAGGAUAGUUCCAUGUCAUUGGUCUCAUCCAGAUCGCCACUGUACUGACUUCUAGGGUGUCCUGCAGAUCUAUGGAGAUGAGGAUCUAUCUUCAGUGACAGUGCCCAUGUUAACAGAACAGCGCUAGAAUGAUCAGGGUCCCAAAGCCACAUGCACGAUUCUGAUAAAUAAAUACCUAGAAGUUUGGGGAAGAGCCUGGAGAAACCUUUUGAUUAGCAAAUAAAUAGUCAUUUUGAAAAUGAAGGAGGUAUGGCCUUCCUUCGACUCUAACGGUCUCUUUAAAAACAUAGCCAGUUUCAUAAUAUCAUCUACACAAUAUAGUCUUCAGAUUUUUAGUCUUUGUACUACAGUACUGAUAUCCACCACCUAUAAAUAAUAAUAUCAGGUGCCUACUGGUUUUACACACACAAUACCAUAUUUGAGGUUGUAUAUUAUGGGUCAAAUACACUAAAAUAGAACCAGCAAGUUUCUCUGAACAUACUUAUUCGCUAAGCAAAACUGGCAGGCUAGAAAGAAGAGGCUUUCAAUACAGGCAGAUCUUUUUCUGGAAAGCACAAUGGCUAAAACAAAUUGGAAAUCUAACCACUUGCUCCUGUGUUUAAGCACAUGGUUAUUUAAGUUUGGAAAAUCGUUCAGGGUAUUUCAUGCUAUUUGUAAAUGUUCCACCCAACAUUUUUCUCAGAAAUAAUUUGAUAGUCACAUUUAAAUCUCAAGUCUGUAAGAUUUAACAUUGUAGAUUGAUUUUGCUGUUUUCCUGCAUUUCUAACUUUAUUGAUAGCUUCUACUAAGUUUGUGUGAGUCCUAGCUAGCUUUUACUGAGUGUGAGUGGGUCCUAGCUAGCUUUUACUGAGUGAGUGGGUUCUAGCUUUCAGAAAUAUAAUUGUUUGUUGAAUGGUAGUUUAGCAUUUAGAUCACAUGCAAAAGCUAGUAAUCUGACAGUAACUGUCAGAACUAAAAGUCCGUUUUUCCUCCUUCAGUCCCUGAGGAGUGUUUGUAUCCUAACCCCCGGCCCCCACCCAGAACUCCUCCAUGUGUGCACACACUACCGUGUGUGCAGAGACAAUCACUUAUGUGUUCCUCUGUCUUCCUGUCUUGUAUUCACUGCAAUAUAAACUGUCCUGUAACCUAAUCCAGUUGUACCCUCUCUCCACCUCUUAUGAUGUUCAUAUGAAGUAAUUGCUAUGUAAACAUAGACAAAAACUUGGUAGAAAUGUACUACCUUUAAAAAAAGUAUUGUAUGCAAAAGGGCUGGUUUCCACCCUCUCAAUUAAAACAGCAAGAUAAAGUAAUGUAUUUCUUGCCCCAAGCUUUGUUGUUCUGUGUCCAUUAUGCUCCUCUCAGAGUCCCCAGCCCGUCCACUACGAGUAGCACCUUCUCCUCUCUCAGUACUCUUCCUCAAAAGCUGGGGCUGGGGACAAAAAAGACCAGACGAUGAGGUGGCAAUCUUUAGUGCUUACAGCCAACGAGGUGCUACCAAUCAAGACGAAAGCACAUGCUAAGAGUAAGGCGGAACAAAAGAACCAGUGGCCAAUGCUGAAUUUCAAGAUGACCAAAGGGCCUCAGAAGAUACAUCAUCUAUGAAGGUGCCAAGCAAGAGAAGACACAGUUAACACAGUAAAGGUAUUGAGAAAAACACAAAUUUAAAAUCCAAAUGCCACCCCAGAAGCAGAAUUCCUAAAAUUUAGAAGUCUGAUAGUUUUAAGUGUUGACAAGGAUGUGGGGCUUUAGGGAGUUCCUUACAAACCACCUUACAAAAGUGGUGGCACUUAUUAAAACACAGUGUACGCAUAGACCAAGUCCCUGUCAUUUGAGUCCUGGCUACAUAGACAACAGAUAGGAAUAUCCAUGUCACCAUGACGUUUGGGAGAAGUAGCCAUCACGUCAUUUUUUAAAUCUACAUUUAAUAACAGCCUUAGUGCAUGUCAACUGUAGUGUAUCCAUGUGGAUUUUAUCUGCUUGUUUAUAAAGGUCAUACCACUGUCCUAGACUGUUCUGAAAACUGCAAUUAUGUACAACAUGUUUGCAUCGCACAUACAAUAUCGAGAUUCUCACGAGUAAUUUAAAUUGCAUGUAUCUAAAGUUACCAGCCCGGCCAGCUGAUUGGCUACAGCUGACUUAAGUCAAGUGGUAACUGUUGGCCUUAAAGUGACGUUGGAGACAGGGAGAAUUCCUGGGGGUAGGUGCUGUCUGUGUGGGUUUGUUUAGUUUGGAAAAUAGUGUAUGAAUUGAAAAUUUGAUAAGAACUAUAUUUCCAUAAAAGGCAACAACCCCCAAAUUUAGUCCAGAUGAAUGCCCCUCAUACAGUGACUGCUACUCAGUUCAGAGGCUCUUGUCAGAGGUUCCUUUUGGUGCUGUAGCUGGCCUUUUCUACAGUAUGUAGGUUCCAUCUCCAGAAGGAAAGGUUACAAGUGAUAAUAUGCAAAACAUGCCACUGAGAACUACUGCUAGCCCUUGUGUAUGGCUUCAUUCUGUCUGUAAAACUCUCAUGAGAUGUUGCCUUCCUUCCAGGAAAGUGAAAUCUUAGAAAUGGUAGCUUGUAAAGGUUAUUCUGUAAGCGAUGAAUCGUACUUAAAUCCAGGCCUUCUGCUAGCAUAGUGCUUACUCAAACACAGAAAAGCCAGAACAGACUUUCCAUAUCUCAGAAGGCUAAAGAGUAACAAUAUAUCUUCAAACUCCUAGAAAAUGAAAGUUUGUGUGUCUCUUGGUGAAGUCAAGAUUAUAUUAUCAAUACAAAAUAUUACCUAGGGUAUCAGUGGACUGCUUACGUUACUGCCUACAAAUGCAACAAUGUCAGUUUUCCCCUGACAUUGGUCAAUUUAUUUUCCCUUCAAAUCCAAGUGUCAUUUAUCUUCGAGUUAGCCAUGGUAGCUUUAUUCUCCUGGCAGUGAAGUUCUUGACAGGAUGCUGUUUACAUAUGUUCUUGACAGGAUGCUGGUUUACAUAUGUUCUUGACAGGAUGCUGGUUUACAUAUGUUCUUUCAGUUUUCAGCAGAGGCUCUACUUGUUGAUCCCUCCUCACCUGCUUCUCUUCCCUCCUUACAAACUGAGCACCAUGCUGUGUGACUCGUGCAAAAAUACCUGGCAAGUUCCUAAAGGUCCCUAAGUCGCCACCCUCAUGCAGUGUGUCACAUUUUCCAGCUCACUUAUGAGAAAUAUUCAAUAUUCCCAAACCAAAGGUCUCAUUUCCAUUCCAAAAAUUCAAUAUUCCCCAUAUCUACAGAACUUUAGACUUUAGUAAUCUCUCAUGUGCGUUACACUUGGUCCUCCUUCAUGUGAUGCGAACUCAUGUCUCCAGUCUUCUGCCUGCUCCUUGGCUCUCACAGAGCAAUCGCACACACUGGGUGUCUCCACAAACAGGUAAGUGGGCAACCCUUUCUAGUGUGACUUUGGUCUAGAUGUCUCUCUCCUCUCCAGUCACAUCAAGGUUGAGACCCAGGCCUGCUCCUGCAAAAAUCCCUUCAUGCUUUUCCAAUUUUGGAUUUCCCAUGAGACCCUUUCUCCCCUUUUUUACUCAUUUAUGUUAUGCACGUUAAUUUCCCAUGGACAAUGGAUCCUUUGAAAACACAAUAUCAUUCUUCCUUUUCAGUUUCCUACAACCCUAUUACAACCUAAUAGAAAUGGACUGUCAGUGAUCUGAGAUGGCAAAAUGGCUAACGGGUUGCUAGUAGUUUCUGUCUACCAUGCCCUUCCUAAUUAUUUCUGAAGCCACUGGGUGUUGUUGCAAAAACAACAAAAGUCCAAGGAAGUAAAAGCUAGUUCUGACUAAAAAGCUAGUCAAAAAUCAUCCUCUUUUCUAAAGGAUCAUUUUCCAGCUCAAUGACUUGUGCAGAAGAAUUCCCAUGGUCUCCUGAAGAUCCACUGUGACAUUAAAAGGGCACAAAUACACAAAUCCUAUGCUAUAUGUUUGAAUAAUUAAAAGGUUAUAUUACGGAAGACUAUAUGGAUCUGAGUAGAUUUAAGAAUGAAUCAGUAGGGGGCUGGGGAUUUAGCUCAGUGGUAGAGCGCUUACCUAGGAAGCGCAAGGCCCUGGGUUCGGUCCCCAGCUCCGAAAAAAAGAACCAAAAAAAAAAAAAGAA